This 498-nucleotide ribosomal RNA is filed under the name denitrifying bacterium M997. RNAcentral describes it as "bacterial SSU rRNA". It matches the Rfam family "Bacterial small subunit ribosomal RNA", at positions 371 to 879 of the family's 1533-position model. The record is from RNAcentral.
AUGGGCGAAAGCCUGAUGCAGCGACGCCGCGUGAGGGAUGACGGCCUUCGGGUUGUAAACCUCUUUCAGCAGGGAAGAAGCGAAAGUGACGGUACCUGCAGAAGAAGCGCCGGCUAACUACGUGCCAGCAGCCGCGGUAAUACGUAGGGCGCAAGCGUUGUCCGGAAUUAUUGGGCGUAAAGAGCUCGUAGGCGGCUUGUCACGUCGGGUGUGAAAGCUCGGGGCUUAACCCCGAGUCUGCAUUCGAUACGGGCUAGCUAGAGUGUGGUAGGGGAGAUCGGAAUUCCUGGUGUAGCGGUGAAAUGCGCAGAUAUCAGGAGGAACACCGGUGGCGAAGGCGGAUCUCUGGGCCAUUACUGACGCUGAGGAGCGAAAGCGUGGGGAGCGAACAGGAUUAGAUACCCUGGUAGUCCACGCCGUAAACGGUGGGAACUAGGUGUUGGCGACAUUCCACGUCGUCGGUGCCGCAGCUAACGCAUUAAGUUCCCCGCCUGGGGA